UCCGGUUUGUCACCGGCAGUCUCAUUAGAGUGCUCAACUGAAUGUAGCAACUAAUGACAAGGGUUGCGCUCGUUGCGGGACUUAACCCAACAUCUCACGACACGAGCUGACGACAGCCAUGCAGCACCUGUGUACGAGCCCCGAAGGGGGGCCCUGCUUUCGCAGGGCUUGCUCGUGCAUGUCAAGCCCAGGUAAGGUUCUUCGCGUUGCGUCGAAUUAAACCACAUGCUCCACCGCUUGUGCGGGCCCCCGUCAAUUCCUUUGAGUUUCAGCCUUGCGGCCGUACUCCCCAGGCGGGGCACUUAAUGCGUUAGCGCCGGCACCCAGGGGGUCGCUCCCCCAGGCACCUAGUGCCCAUCGUUUACGGCGUGGACUAC
Molecule: unclassified non-coding RNA, 377 nt
Filed under: uncultured bacterium
Lineage: Bacteria
Description: contains 16S-23S intergenic spacer region
Source: RNAcentral